Molecule: ribosomal RNA, 378 nt
Filed under: uncultured eukaryote
Lineage: Eukaryota
Description: partial 18S ribosomal RNA
Rfam family: Eukaryotic small subunit ribosomal RNA
Source: RNAcentral
CAAUAGCGUAUAUUAAAGUUGUUGCGGUAAAAAGCUCGUAGUUGGAUUUCUGUUGAGAGCGACCGGUCCAUACCAUGUAUGCGUAUCUGGCUUGCUCUCGGCAUCCUCUCGAUAGACGUUGCUGCGCUUGAUUGCGUGGCGCGGAUCUCGGGACUUUUACUUUGAGGAAAUUAGAGUGUUCACGGCAGGCUUUCGCCAGAAUACAUUAGCAUGGAAUAAUACUAUAGGAUCUUGGUUCUAUUUUGUUGGUUUCUAGAAUUGAGAUAAUGAUUAAUAGGGACAAUUGGGGGCAUUCGUAUCAACACGUCAGAGGUGGAAUUCUUGGAUUGUGUUGCGACGAACUACUGCGAAAGCAUUUGCCAAGGAUGUUUUCAUUGA